GAUGAACGCUGGCGGCGUGCCUAAUACAUGCAAGUCGAGCGAACGGACGAGAAGCUUGCUUCUCUGAUGUUAGCGGCGGACGGGUGAGUAACACGUGGAUAACCUACCUAUAAGACUGGGAUAACUUCGGGAAACCGGAGCUAAUACCGGAUGAUAUUUUGAACCGCAUGGUUCAAAAGUGAAAGACGGUCUUGCUGUCACUUAUAGAUGGAUCCGCGCUGCAUUAGCUAGUUGGUAAGGUAACGGCUUACCAAGGCAACGAUGCAUAGCCGACCUGAGAGGGUGAUCGGCAACACUGGAACUGCAACACGAUCCAGACUCCUACGGGCGGCAGCAGUAGGGAAUCUUCCGCAAUGGGCGAAAGCCGGACGGAGCAACGCCGCGUGAGUGAUGAAGGUCUUCGGAUCGUAAAACUCUGUUAUUAGGGAAGAACAUAUGUGUAAGUAACUGUGCAAAUCUUGACGGUACCUAAUCAGAAAGCCACGGGUAACUACGUG
This 497-nucleotide ribosomal RNA is filed under the name uncultured bacterium. Its description in RNAcentral is "partial 16S ribosomal RNA". It matches the Rfam family "Bacterial small subunit ribosomal RNA", at positions 28 to 507 of the family's 1533-position model. The record is from RNAcentral.